GUGAGGGCUAAUGUAGUGGUGAGGGCUAUGGUAGUGGUGAGGGCUAUGGUAGUGGUGAGGACUAUGGUAGUGGUGAGGACUAUGGUAGUGGUGAGGACUAUGGUAGUGGUGAGGACUAUGGUAGUGGUGAGGACUAAUGUAGUGGUGAGGACUAUGGUAGUGGUGAGGGCUAAUGUAGUGGUGUGGGCUAUGGUAGUGGUGAGGGCUAAUGUAGUGGUGAGGACUAAUGUAGUGGUGAGGGCUAUUGUGGUGGUGAGGGCUAUGAUGGUAGUGGUGAGGGCUAUGGUAGUGGUGAGGGCUAUGAUGGUAGUGGUGAGGGCUAUGGUAGUGGUGAGGGCUAAUGUAGUGGUGAGGACUAAUGUAGUGGUGUGGGCUAUGGUAGUGGUGAGGACUAAUGUAGUGGUGAGGGCUAUGGUGGUGGUGAGGGCUAUGAUGGUAGUGGUGAGGGCUAUGGUAGUGGUGAGGACUAUGGGCUAUGGUAGUGGUGAGGGCUAUGGUAGUGGUGAGGGCUAUGGUAGUGGUGAGGACUAUGGUAGUUGGUAG
Molecule: long non-coding RNA, 543 nt
Organism: Oncorhynchus tshawytscha (Chinook salmon)
Lineage: Eukaryota; Metazoa; Chordata; Actinopteri; Salmoniformes; Salmonidae
Source: Ensembl